CCUACGGGGGGCAGCAGUAGGGAAUAUUGCUCAAUGGGGGAAAUCCUGAAGCAGCAACGCCGCGUGGAGGAAGAAGGUUUUCGGAUUGUAAACCCUCUUUGUUAGAGAAGCUAAUGACGGUAUGUAACGCAUAAGCAGCGGCUAACUCCGUGACAACAGCCGCGGUAACACGGAGGGUGCAAGCGUUACUCGGAAUCUCUGGGCGUAAAGGGCGCGUAGGCGGGAUAGCAAGUCGGAUGUGAAAUCCUCUGGUUUAAACAUAGAAGUGCAGUUGAAACUGGUAGACUAGAGUAUGCGAGAGGUAGGUGGAAUUCGUGGUGUAGGGGUAAAAUCCGUAGAGAUCAAGAAGAAUACUCAUUGCGAAGGCGACGUGCUAGAACAAAACUGACGCUGAGGCGCGAAAGCGUGGGGAGCGAACAGGAUUAGAUACCCGAGUAGUC
This 440-nucleotide ribosomal RNA is filed under the name uncultured bacterium. RNAcentral's name for it is "partial 16S ribosomal RNA". It matches the Rfam family "Bacterial small subunit ribosomal RNA", at positions 338 to 795 of the family's 1533-position model. The record is from RNAcentral.